GAUGAACGCUGGCGGCGUGCCUAACACAUGCAAGUCGAGCGAGAAGCAGGAGACGGAGAUUUCGAUUGAAGUAUUCUGUGGAAAGCGGCGGACGGGUGAGUAACGCGUAGGCAACCUGCCCUUUGCAGAGGGAUAGCCUCGGGAAACCGGGAUUAAAACCUCAUGAAACGAAAGUGCCGCAUGGCAUUUUGGUCAAAGAUUUAUCGGCAGAGGAUGGGCCUGCGUCUGAUUAGUUAGUUGGUGGGGUAACGGCCUACCAAGGCGACGAUCAGUAGCCGACCUGAGAGGGUGAACGGCCACAUUGGAACUGAGACACGGUCCAAACUCCUACGGGAGGCAGCAGUGGGGAAUAUUGCACAAUGGGGGGAACCCUGAUGCAGCAACGCCGCGUGAGCGAAGAAGGCCUUUGGGUCGUAAAGCUCUGUCCUAAGGGAAGAAGGAAGUGACGGUACCUUAGGAGGAAGCCCCGGCUAACUACGUGCCAGCAGCCGCAGUAAUAC
Molecule: ribosomal RNA, 500 nt
Filed under: uncultured bacterium
Lineage: Bacteria
Description: bacterial SSU rRNA
Rfam family: Bacterial small subunit ribosomal RNA
Source: RNAcentral